This is a long non-coding RNA of Alosa alosa (allis shad), 277 nucleotides long. RefSeq lists it as uncharacterized. The record is from RefSeq and is a predicted model, not a curated record. NCBI's taxonomy places the organism in Eukaryota, Metazoa, Chordata, Actinopteri, Clupeiformes, Clupeidae. The transcript has 3 exons.
AAACAUUAACGUUAUUUUAUACAGUCUAUGCUUGUAACUUUAUUUGCAAGACAGAUGGACUGUAGAGACCAGAAAAUGCAUACGUUUACGGUCCGUAUAAGAUUACAGGUGUUCCUGGACAGUUUUAAACCAAGAUGUCUGAACGCCUCAAAUAAUCAGCAGUAAAGACAACAGAGACAAAUUCUCUAAUACCAAGGUCAAUGCAUUUGACUGCUGUCCAGCCCCGGGUUUCCACCGAAAACUUUAUAGGCGGGUCAAUAUAGGGUUCAACGUCAAA